UACGGAGGAUCCAAGCGUUAUCCGGAUUUAUUGGGUUUAAAGGGUGCGUAGGCGGCUUGUUAAGUCAGGGGUGAAAGACGAUGGCUCAACCAUCGCAGUGCCUUUGAUACUGGCGAGCUUGAAUGUACUUGAGGUAGGCGGAAUGUGACAAGUAGCGGUGAAAUGCAUAGAUAUGUCACAGAACACCGAUUGCGAAGGCAGCUUACUAAAGUAUGAUUGACGCUGAGGCACGAAAGCGUGGGGAUCAAACAGG
RNAcentral lists this ribosomal RNA (253 nucleotides) under uncultured Pedobacter sp. RNAcentral's name for it is "partial 16S ribosomal RNA". It matches the Rfam family "Bacterial small subunit ribosomal RNA", at positions 524 to 776 of the family's 1533-position model. Lineage: Bacteria; Pseudomonadati; Bacteroidota; Sphingobacteriia; Sphingobacteriales; Sphingobacteriaceae. The record is from RNAcentral.